Non-coding RNA from Myotis lucifugus (little brown bat), 75 nucleotides. The record is from Rfam. NCBI's taxonomy places the organism in Eukaryota, Metazoa, Chordata, Mammalia, Chiroptera, Vespertilionidae.
GGUGGGUCUCAGGUGACAUGCCCUGGAAUCAAGCUCCCUCCUCUCUGGUUCCGGGUGCAUCACCCGAGAGCAGCC